GACGAACGCUGGCGGCGUGCUUAACACAUGCAAGUCGAACGAUAAUGCCCAGCUUGCUGGGUGGAUUAGUGGCGAACGGGUGAGUAACACGUGAGUAACCUGCCCCUGACUCUGGGAUAAGCGUUGGAAACGACGUCUAAUACUGGAUAUGACUGCCGGCCGCAUGGUCUGGUGGUGGAAAGAUUUUUUGGUUGGGGAUGGACUCGCGGCCUAUCAGCUUGUUGGUGAGGUAAUGGCUCACCAAGGCGACGACGGGUAGCCGGCCUGAGAGGGUGACCGGCCACACUGGGACUGAGACACGGCCCAGACUCCUACGGGAGGCAGCAGUGGGAAAUAUUGCACAAUGGGCGAAAGCCUGAUGCAGCAACGCCGCGUGAGGGAUGACGGCCUUCGGGUUGUAAACCUCUUUUAGUAGGGAAGAAGCGAAAGUGACGGUACCUGCAGAAAAAGCACCGGCUAACUACGUGCCAGCAGCCGCCGUAA
RNAcentral lists this ribosomal RNA (483 nucleotides) under uncultured bacterium. RNAcentral describes it as "partial 16S ribosomal RNA". It matches the Rfam family "Bacterial small subunit ribosomal RNA", at positions 28 to 523 of the family's 1533-position model. The record is from RNAcentral.